RNAcentral lists this ribosomal RNA (253 nucleotides) under uncultured bacterium. Its description in RNAcentral is "partial 16S ribosomal RNA". It matches the Rfam family "Bacterial small subunit ribosomal RNA", at positions 524 to 776 of the family's 1533-position model. The record is from RNAcentral.
UACGUAGGGCGCAAGCGUUGUCCGGAAUUAUUGGGCGUAAAGAGCUCGUAGGCGGCUUGUCACCUCGGGUGUGAAAGCCCGGGGCUUAACCCCGGGUCUGCAUUCGAUACGGGCUAGCUAGAGUGUGGUAGGGGAGAUCGGAAUUCCUGGUGUAGCGGUGAAAUGCGCAGAUAUCAGGAGGAACACCGGUGGCGAAGGCGGAUCUCUGGGCCAUUACUGACGCUGAGGAGCGAAAGCGUGGGGAGCGAACAGG